AGAGUUUGAUCCUGGCUCAGGAUGAACGCUGGCGGCGUGCCUAAUACAUGCAAGUAGAACGCUGAAGCUUGGUGCUUGCACCGAGCGGAUGAGUUGCGAACGGGUGAGUAACGCGUAGGUAACCUGCCUCUUAGCGGGGGAUAACUAUUGGAAACGAUAGCUAAUACCGCAUAAAAGUCGAUAUCGCAUGAUAUUGAUUUGAAAGGUGCAAUUGCAUCACUAAGAGAUGGACCUGCGUUGUAUUAGCUAGUUGGUGAGGUAACGGCUCACCAAGGCGACGAUACAUAGCCGACCUGAGAGGGUGAUCGGCCACACUGGGACUGAGACACGGCCCAGACUCCUACGGGAGGCAGCAGUAGGGAAUCUUCGGCAAUGGGGGCAACCCUGACCGAGCAACGCCGCGUGAGUGAAGAAGGUUUUCGGAUCGUAAAGCUCUGUUGUAAGAGAAGAACGAGUGUGAGAGUGGAAAGUUCACACUGUGACGGUAACUUACCAGAAAGGGACGGCUAACUACGUGCCAGCAGCCGCGGUAAUACGUAGGUCCCGAGCGUUAUCCGGAUUUAUUGGGCGUAAAGCGAGCGCAGGCGGUUAGAUAAGUCUGAAGUUAAAGGCUGUGGCUUAACCAUAGUACGCUUUGGAAACUGUUUAACUUGAGUGCAGAAGGGGAGAGUGGAAUUCCAUGUGUAGCGGUGAAAUGCGUAGAUAUAUGGAGGAACACCGGUGGCGAAAGCGGCUCUCUGGUCUGUAACUGACGCUGAGGCUCGAAAGCGUGGGGAGCAAACAGGAUUAGAUACCCUGGUAGUCCACGCCGUAAACGAUGAGUGCUAGGUGUUGGGUCCUUUCCGGGACUCAGUGCCGCAGCUAACGCAUUAAGCACUCCGCCUGGGGAGUACGACCGCAAGGUUGAAACUCAAAGGAAUUGACGGGGGCCCGCACAAGCGGUGGAGCAUGUGGUUUA
This 958-nucleotide ribosomal RNA is filed under the name uncultured bacterium. RNAcentral describes it as "bacterial SSU rRNA". It matches the Rfam family "Bacterial small subunit ribosomal RNA", at positions 8 to 948 of the family's 1533-position model. The record is from RNAcentral.